This 363-nucleotide ribosomal RNA is filed under the name uncultured bacterium. Its description in RNAcentral is "bacterial SSU rRNA". It matches the Rfam family "Bacterial small subunit ribosomal RNA", at positions 29 to 419 of the family's 1533-position model. The record is from RNAcentral.
ACGAACGCUGGCGGCAUGCCUAACACAUGCAAGUCGAACGAGACCUUCGGGGUCUAGUGGCGCACGGGUGCGUAACGCGUGGGAAUCUGCCCUUGGGUUCGGAAUAACAGUUGGAAACGACUGCUAAUACCGGAUGAUGACGUAAGUCCAAAGAUUUAUCGCCCAGGGAUGAGCCCGCGUAGGAUUAGCUAGUUGGUGGGGUAAAGGCCUACCAAGGCGACGAUCCUUAGCUGGUCUGAGAGGAUGAUCAGCCACACUGGGACUGAGACACGGCCCAGACUCCUACGGGAGGCAGCAGUGGGGAAUAUUGGACAAUGGGCGAAAGCCUGAUCCAGCAAUGCCGCGUGAGUGAUGAAGGCCUUA